UGGUUUUAGGGGUGUUAUGUCUCAUUUAGGGAGGGUAAGUCUGGUUUUAGGGAUGUUCAGUAUCAUUUAGGGAGGGUAGGUCUGGUUUUAGGGGUGUCUGGUCUCAUUUAGGGAGGGUAGGUCUGGUUUUAGGGGUGCUCGGUCUCAUUUAGGGAGGAUAAAUCUGGAUUUAGGGAUGUUAGGGCUGGUUUGGGGGAUGACAGGUCUGAUUUUGGGGAUGACAGGUCUGCUUUUAGGGAGGAUAAAUCUGGUUUUAGGGGGCUUGGUCUCAUCUAGGGAGAGGUUUUAGGGGUGUUCAGUGUCAUUUAGGGAGGAUAAACCUGGAUUUAGGGGUGUUAGGGCUGGUUUGGGGGAUGGCAGGUCUGGUUUUGGGGAGGAUAGGUCUGGU
This is a long non-coding RNA of Chiroxiphia lanceolata (lance-tailed manakin), 388 nucleotides long. RefSeq lists it as uncharacterized. Lineage: Eukaryota; Metazoa; Chordata; Aves; Passeriformes; Pipridae. The record is from RefSeq and is a predicted model, not a curated record. The transcript is spliced from 3 exons.